GGUUUUGAGACCCGAAGGCCCGAGGCUGUAGCAUCUUGAGCGUAGUGAGGGUGCUACUAAGCGCCUAAGGGUUGGUUGAAAAUGGUAGCCUCUAUAAAUAACAAGAAGCACACCAAAGCUGCUGAUGCAGCUGACUGGAGGAUACGUGUGCGCAGCGAUGAGGAGAAAUCAAGAAUCCUCGAAGAUUGCCAUGCCAGACGCUUCCUCCUCUCACAAGCCAGACGUCCCCUCUUCUCACAAGCCAGAUGCCCUCUCCUCUCACAAGCCAGAUGCUCCCUCCUCUCGCAAGCGAGACGCCCCCUUCUAUCGUUAAGCUGCAUCCUCUAUGGAGCCACCUUUGAAGAAGCAAAGGACUACUCAGUCUGUAACAAGAAAGAAUUCAAGCUACUGGGUGAAGGAUUUGGACCUGAGAACGGGAGACAAGGAUGUAAUUCUUGCUGAGAGUGGGAUGCUUUCUGACCGUCAUAUGUAUGCUGCCCACAAACUAAUGAGAAUGCAAUUUCCAAAUAUUGAAGGCUGCAUGCUACUCUACUCUUCUGGUUCAGAAGAUGUCCUUUCAUGCAGUCACUAGUAUAGUGAAGCCACAGAUAUUCUUUGUAACAGAGAGGCAUCACUGGAUUGCGACAGCACUCAUCAAGGGGGAACUUUUCCUCUUUGAUAGCUGCUUCCAAUAUGGGAAAGAACUGGAGCCAAGUGCUGAGCUGCAAAUCGCACAAAUGUAUAAGCCUUUAAUAGCCCGCACAAUGGGCUAGCUGUUACUGUCUGUGGCCUCCAUUCAACAGCAGAGCAGUGGCAGUAACAACUGUGGUUUGUUUGCAAUUGCCGCUGCAUACCACGCAUUGCAAGGAGACAAUCUGGAUACCAUCACCCUAAAUGAAGACAAAAUGAGGCCACAUGCACCUUGUGCGUUGCUUUGAAAAUGAGAAACUCAGAAGAUUUCCAAAGUCAAAAGAUGUUAGUAGCCGCAAGAGACCAGAAAGAUUUUCCAGCAUAUAUAGUAAUUACGAUAUACUGCCCUUGU
Molecule: long non-coding RNA, 1021 nt
Organism: Halichondria panicea
Lineage: Eukaryota; Metazoa; Porifera; Demospongiae; Suberitida; Halichondriidae
Exons: 3
Source: RefSeq, a predicted model, not a curated record